RNAcentral lists this ribosomal RNA (502 nucleotides) under uncultured bacterium. Its description in RNAcentral is "bacterial SSU rRNA". It matches the Rfam family "Bacterial small subunit ribosomal RNA", at positions 11 to 510 of the family's 1533-position model. The record is from RNAcentral.
GUUUGAUCCUGGCUCAGAUUGAACGCUGGCGGAAUGCUUUUACACAUGCAAGUCGAGCGGCAGCGCGGGGCAACCUGGCGGCGAGCGGCGAACGGGGUGAGUAAUACAUCGGAACGUGCCCAGACGUGGGGGAUAACUACUCGAAAGAGUGGCUAAUACCGCAUACGAUCUACGGAUGAAAGCGGGGGAUCGCAAGACCUCGCGCGUCUGGAGCGGCUGAUGGCAGAUUAGGUAGUUGGUGGGAUAAAAGCCUACCAAGCCAACGAUCUGUAGCUGGUCUGAGAGGAUGAUCAGCCACACUGGGACUGAGACACGGCCCAGACUCCUACGGGAGGCAGCAGUGGGGAAUUUUGGACAAUGGGCGAAAGCCUGAUCCAGCCAUUCCGCGUGCAGGAUGAAGGCCCUCGGGUUGUAACUGCUUUUGUACAGAACGAAAAAGACUCUGGCUAAUACCUGGAGUCCAUGACGGUACUGUAAGAUAAGCACGGCUAACUACGUGCCA